UACGGGGGGGGCAAGCGUUGUUCGGAAUUACUGGGCGUAAAGGGCUCGCAGGCGGCCAACUAAGUCAUACGUGAAAUCCCUCGGCUUAACCGGGGAACUGCGUCUGAUACUGGAUGGCUUGAGUUCGGGAGAGGGAUGCGGAAUUCCAGGUGUAGCGGUGAAAUGCGUAGAUAUCUGGAGGAACACCGGUGGCGAAGGCGGCAUCCUGGACCGACACUGACACUGAGGAGCGAAAGCCAGGGGAGCAAACGGG
Molecule: ribosomal RNA, 253 nt
Filed under: uncultured bacterium
Lineage: Bacteria
Description: partial 16S ribosomal RNA
Rfam family: Bacterial small subunit ribosomal RNA
Source: RNAcentral